GUGACUGCGUACCUUUUGUAUAAUGGGUCAGCGACUUAUAUUCUGUAGCAAGGUUAACCGUAUAGGGGAGCCGAAGGGAAACCGAGUCUUAACUGGGCGUUAAGUUGCAGGGUAUAGACCCGAAACCCGGUGAUCUAGCCAUGGGCAGGUUGAAGGUUGGGUAACACUAACUGGAGGACCGAACCGACUAAUGUUGAAAAAUUAGCGGAUGACUUGUGGCUGGGGGUGAAAGGCCAAUCAAACCGGGAGAUAGCUGGUUCUCCCCGAAAGCUAUUUAGGUAGCGCCUCGUGAACUCAUCUUCGGGGGUAGAGCACUGUUUCGGCUAGGGGGUCAUCCCGACUUACCAACCCGAUGCAAACUGCGAAUACCGAAGAAUGUUAUCACGGGAGACACACGGCGGGUGCUAACGUCCGUCGUGAAGAGGGAAACAACCCAGACCGCCAGCUAAGGUCCCAAAGUCACAGUUAAGUGGGAAACGAUGUGGGAAGGCUCAGACAGCCAGGAUGUUGGCUUAGAAGCAGCCAUCAUUUAAAGAAAGCGUAAUAGCUCACUGGUCGAGUCGGCCUGCGCGGAAGAUGUAACGGGGCUAAACUGUGCACCGAAGCUGCGGCAGCGACGCUUAUGCGUUGUUGGGUAGGGGAGCGUUCUGUAAGCCUGCGAAGGUGUCCUGUGAGGGAUGCUGGAGGUAUCAGAAGUGCGAAUGCUGACAUAAGUAACGAUAAUGCGGGUGAAAAGCCCGCUCGCCGGAAGACCAAGGGUUCCUGUCCAACGUUAAUCGGGGCAGGGUGAGUCGACCCCUAAGGCGAGGCCGAAAGGCGUAGUCGAUGGGAAACGGGUUAAUAUUCCCGUACUUGGUGUUACUGCGAAGGGGGGACGGAGAAGGCUAUGUUGGCCGGGCGACGGUUGUCCCGGUUUAAGCGUGUAGGCUGGUUUUCCAGGCAAAUCCGGAAAAUCAAGGCUGAGGCGUGAUGACGAGGCACUACGGUGCUGAAGCAACAAAUGCCCUGCUUCCAGGAAAAGCCUCUAAGCAUCAGGUAACAUCAAAUCGUACCCCAAACCGACACAGGUGGUCAGGUAGAGAAUACCAAGGCGCUUGAGAGAACUCGGGUGAAGGAACUAGGCAAAAUGGUGCCGUAACUUCGGGAGAAGGCACGCUGACACGUAGGUGAAGUGAUUUACUCA
RNAcentral lists this ribosomal RNA (1183 nucleotides) under Salmonella enterica subsp. enterica serovar Typhimurium. Its description in RNAcentral is "partial 23S ribosomal RNA". It matches the Rfam family "Bacterial large subunit ribosomal RNA", at positions 593 to 1773 of the family's 2925-position model. The record is from RNAcentral. Lineage: Bacteria; Pseudomonadati; Pseudomonadota; Gammaproteobacteria; Enterobacterales; Enterobacteriaceae.